RNAcentral lists this transfer RNA (67 nucleotides) under Marmota monax (woodchuck). RNAcentral describes it as "tRNA.Ala". The record is from RNAcentral. Lineage: Eukaryota; Metazoa; Chordata; Mammalia; Rodentia; Sciuridae.
GGUGUAUAGCUCAGUGGUAGAGCACUUGCCUAGCAUGCAUGAAGCCCUGGUUUGAACCCCUGCAUCA